Molecule: non-coding RNA, 1030 nt
Organism: Phalacrocorax carbo (great cormorant)
Lineage: Eukaryota; Metazoa; Chordata; Aves; Suliformes; Phalacrocoracidae
Source: RefSeq, a predicted model, not a curated record
UCUCCUAGGGCCAAAUUGUCAGUGCUUUUGUCUUUGCCCACCUUGCACACUAAAAAUUAUGGUCUUGUUCUUCCAGGAGAGCUGACUGCACCCCUGCUGAGCUCUUCUCGGGAUCAGGCCUGCCAGGACUUCAUACAAGUCACCUCAAAUUAAAAUUCCUUGUCAGAAGAGAGCUCCAGAAAGGCAAUAUCAAAUCCAUCCAUUAUGAAGAUAAACACUUGGCAACAAAAUUAGCGAGGAGAUGGUAGCAGUCAAAUGGGAAGCGCAAUUCAGAGGAUCCUGGAGCAGACCACUCUUGGUUUUCACUUGCUUCCUCAAUCUGAAGAGCAAAUGAAAAUGUAACUGGUAAAGUGAAGUUCCUAGAAAGAAGCUUAAAUUCCAGAUGGCUGAUACCACCCAGGCACCAGCUGUGAGAAGGAGUGAAACCUUUGUCACGCAAUACCUAGGAACAGCCAAAAGUCAUUUGGGCACUGGAUUUGUUUUCCCUGGAGGCAAGAGCUCACAAGGCUUUGAGAGAAUCCAUGGCAGUCUCUAAAAGAUGGGUCUAGCAGCUUCCCAGAAUCUCAGAUCUGUUGGAGAUAUUCUUCCUUCCAUCUUUUGAAGUUGAGGAUACCAAGCACCUUCCCAAUCUGACCUCUGCAGCCAUUCGUAAGACCAGAAAUGAUGGACCCGAGAUGGGGAAGUAUUGGAACAAGCAUUGGAAAUGGCUUUCAGCCUCUCCUGUGAUCACGCUCCUGUUGUGCCCAGCUGCUGCUUUUUGUCCAGCUGUUCUUCAGGGCUUUAUUGUCUAUGUUGGCAUCCCAUGGUAAAAGGACUGGGGAAGGUAACUGCUAUGCUUCACAUACAAGAAACCGAGGGUGUUAAUGCAGACUUUGUCACUCCUGAGACAUGAACACCCAAAUGCGUGAUUCUGUUUUGUCUAAUGAAUGGGGGCGUGGAUCGUUAGCAGAGCACAGGUACCUCCACUUCUGGCUUACCCGUGACCUCUGCCAGCAGUGACCAAAAGCUGUGGUUACCCAACCACCCUCUG